Molecule: ribosomal RNA, 371 nt
Filed under: uncultured bacterium
Lineage: Bacteria
Description: bacterial SSU rRNA
Rfam family: Bacterial small subunit ribosomal RNA
Source: RNAcentral
GUAGGGUGCGAGCGUUAAUCGGAAUUACUGGGCGUAAAGUGUACGCAGGCGGCCGCGCAAGUCGAGUGUGAAAUCCCCGAGCUUAACUUGGGAAUUGCGCUCGAAACUACGUGGCUGGAGUGUGGCAGAGGAAGGUGGAAUUCCACGUGUAGCGGUGAAAUGCGUAGAUAUGUGGAGGAACACCGAUGGCGAAGGCAGCCUUCUGGGCCAACACUGACGCUCAUGCACGAAAGCGUGGGGAGCAAACAGGAUUAGAUACCCUGGUAGUCCACGCCCUAAACGAUGAUGACUAGUUGUUGGAGGAGUUAAAUCCUUUAGUAACGCAGCUAACGCGUGAAGUCAUCCGCCUGGGGAGUACGGUCGCAAGAUUA